CCAGUUUUUCAGAUUGUGGUGCGAAGGUCGCGGUGCGCCUUGCGUGAUGCCCUUCCGUGCAUUUGACGCCUGCCUGGUACCUGUGUAGAAGAAGUCGUCGCCAUAUAUUAAUUCCCCUUGAGUGGGAGCCGGGGACGGAUAGGGACGGAGGUCCUGGAAAUAUGCAGAGAAGGGAGGGAAAGGCCGCUUCCGGCCGCCUGCUUCCGCGGUCUGUGGGGAACGCGAGGCGAGGCAGGCCGCGAAGAGAGGAGCAAAUGGAUGACCUCAGCGGCGCGGCACCUUGACCUUCUGCAGGGCAGGCCUCGGCAGUAAGAGUUCCACACUCCGUUUUGUGCGUGUUUUCCCCAAACACGUCCCCUCUCCCCUCCGGUUUCCUUGGAAAAGGCGACCGGAGUCAGCGACCCGCUGCCUCCAAGUGUCUCGGCCACAUCGUCUCCAGCCUUCCGCAAGUGUAUACAAGCUGAAUAUCCCGAACACAGCUUGGUCUCUUACCUCCCAGUUCCUUUCAGGCUCUGCACGCCUUUUGCACCUACCACCACCAGUUUCCAGCGUGGAUACCAGGAUGUCUGUCUGGGGUGCCAUUUAUUGCCUUUCUGGCGCCCAGCACUGACUAAGUUCUGCCGACUGUACCCCUGCAGGAAUUCUGACGUUCAGGGCGAAGCUCCCGUUAUCACCCCCCGAGCAGCGGGAAUGCAGUACCUUUCCCAUGGUGCCGUUCCUCCAGCACGUCCCCUUAUCAGUCCGUCUUGCAUUCAGCUGCCAUAGCCUCCCUUUGACCCUGUGAUCUGGAAGCAAAACACAUCAGCAGAAGACCCUAAGGAAUCCUGGCGUCCAGAGAGCCCUGCAUUCUGAGGCUGUGAGUGAGCCAGGACAAUGACCAUUCUCAAGAUGGUGAAACUGCAGUGCAAAGGGGCAUCUCAUUUAGUCAAGGGCACAGCUGCCACGUUCAACAACUUUGGUGCUGCUGAUCGGCCCUGGGCUCUUCCGCUCGGCUGAUGUGGACCUGCAGGAGGCAGGAGCGCUGCCCGGCAGCCUCUGCGCCAGGAAGUGAGCACCACAAGGGCUCAUCCUAAGCCAAACGACAGCACUCAUCUUAAAGAUUAGUACCCUUCCUUCACAUUUUGUGGCUGCUUUGUGUGCUCCAUUGGCUAGCUCUAGUAAUCCACUUCAGGGCCUUGGUCCUUCCCAGCUCUUCAUCGGAUAUACGAGUUACACUUAGACGAGACCUUGGAGAUGCACAGAGAAGCCAAGGGACUUAUCCAGAAUUUACUCUCAACCACUCCUUAUCCCACCCAUACUACCAUCAUCCUUCCUCCACGUAAUUUUCCAGAAUCUUUUUCAUUGACCUGAUCAUCACAGUGGUGCAGCCAUGAGAGAGGGAGGUGUUGAGACCAUCUGGACUGAACCCAAUUAAUGCCUCCGUACAAACUUUAAAGAUUCUGGUGGCUGGUGCAGAGAUCUACUCAUCUUGCACUUGCCCAAGACGAGCCUCAAAACUCCGUGCUGAUGACUCCAGCCAUCCAUGCUAUCUGAGCUUUUGACUCAUAAACACUCCUGCCAACUAGAAACCUCUCUCUGGAUGUCCGACAGGCAUCUCCAGCACACAGUCUGAAUGCAAUCCCAGUGUUCCCCAGUCUGUGGAGUAUGGAGCCUGUCCCCGCCACGCACCACCUGUUGACAUCCCACGGAAACACCACUUUAUGUAAACUUUCUGGAGUAAAGACAAAUGAAGAGCUGUUUUAGAAAUUGCAUUUUAAUUAAAAAUGUACUGGCUCUAUUGAAAGGGAGACACUGAAUGUCCGGCCUGUUCUGCCACAGCCCUCUUUGAUCCCCCGCACCCCGGGCGGUUGUGGGGAGGGGUCGGUUGUGUCGUCAUUGAAAACGGCUCCCAGGCUCCGUUCGGCUGGCCUGGGUCAGAAGGGCCCCCGGUGAAAUUUCAGCUCCCAGGCGGGUUGGUAUCCAGUGUCUUCCUCUGUGAGCACUGACCUCAGACGUGGUAGAUAGAAACUUCCCAGCUUAGUUGCGUACAACAACCCAGCCGGAGCUAAAGGGAGAACGCGAUGUCACCAGCUAUCUAUAGUCAUUCCCUAACUGACACCUGGCCGAGGAAUACCUGGCUUGUUUGUUCUAAAUUAGGACUAUAUCUCAUUGUCAUCCCUCGGCCGUGGGGAACUGAGCCAGGGGACAGGGCUGCCAGAACUUGGGAUCACCCAAGGCCUUGGGCAGCAGAGGUAGAGGUGAGAGGCUGGAUGUAGCCCCGUGUGGGGCGCACUGGGGGAGGCCUGUGUGUGGGAAAGCAGCCUGGUGGUCUGGCCGGCUCCUGGGAGCUCGGCACAGUCUGGCCGGGAGCCUCUCCCUGCACAGCCCCAGGAGGCUGGCUUGGCCCCACCUUAUUGGUGGAACACUCUGGUUUCUUUUUUUCUCCCAAAUCUGCCUUUCAUGGGCAAGAAUCACUUCAGGCUCUCACAUGCAGAUUCCCAUACCGGUCUCAGAAGGGCUGAAUCGGUCUGUGUAAUAAAUGCCCUGUGUGAGCUACACCAGGAGGGCAGUCUUGGGGACACUGCUCCAGCUGCUCAGGGGGCGUACGCAGCAGUAUUGGGCUCAGUCCCUUCCUCCAGGUGCUUUUGUUUCCUGUCACUUUGUUUUGGGGGCCCAACUUGGGUUCUGUAAGAGUCUCAUGCUGUCUCAGAAGGGACCACGAGGGUCUUGUCCUCCUCAUCCCCAUCUUCAGGGUUCUGCAGUCCUAGGCCCUCUAGCCACGGGCAGGUCAGAGCCAGAUGCUGGCACCCAGCUAGAAUAAGUAUGUGUAUGUUUUCUUCCUUUCUCAGCUCAGCCUUCCCCUCCUUGUAAUGAGAAGUAGUUUUGAAGAGGCAGUUUGGUAUCUUUUAUAAAGUUAAACCUCUUAUCUGCUCUAAUUAGUCAAGGAUAUUUAUCAAGCACAUACAAGGUGCAGAACAGGACUGAAAAAUAAACAUGUCCCUGAUUUCUUGGCAUUGAAUAACUAGUUCAGACUUGGGAUAACAAGAAAGUUCUGGAGGUGGUUGGUGGUGAUGGUAGUAGCGCAGCACUAUGGACAUUCUUAAUUCCAUUAAACUGAACUUAAAGACGAGUAAAAUGGUAAAUGUCUUGUUACGUAUGUGUUUCCACAACGAGGGAAAAGCCGAACUUGUUCUGGAGACAGUGCACCCAAAAACCAACUGAAGAAGACAUUUAUAAAGUGUUAAACCAGCAAACGUAAAGAAGCACAUGAAUUUAAAGGGAUGCUUGAGUAAAGGAAACCAAACACCUGUACAACUUCUGUACUGUAGGGUCAGAAUUGGCAGUUUGGAGAAUUAUGCAGAUGAGAGAAAUUCAU
This is an RNA transcript of Artibeus jamaicensis (Jamaican fruit-eating bat), 3355 nucleotides long. RefSeq lists it as uncharacterized. The transcript is spliced from 7 exons. Lineage: Eukaryota; Metazoa; Chordata; Mammalia; Chiroptera; Phyllostomidae. The record is from RefSeq and is a predicted model, not a curated record.